CGUAGGGUGCGAGCGUUAAUCGGAAUUACUGGGCGUAAAGCGUGCGCAGGCGGUUUUGUAAGACAGAUGUGAAAUCCCCGGGCUCAACCUGGGACCUGCAUUUGUGACUGCAAGGCUAGAGUACGGUAGAGGGGGAUGGAAUUCCGCGUGUAGCAGUGAGAUGCGUAGAUAUGCGGAGGAACACCGAUGGCGAAGGCAAUCCCCUGGACCUGUACUGACGCUCAUGCACGAAAGCGUGGGGAGCAAACAGGAUUAGAUACCCUGGUAGUCCACGCCCUAAACGAUGUCAACUGGUUGUUGGGUCUUUACUGACUCAGUAACGAAGCUAACGCGUGAAGUUGACCGCCUGGGGAGUACGGCCGCAAGGUUG
This 370-nucleotide ribosomal RNA is filed under the name uncultured organism. Its description in RNAcentral is "bacterial SSU rRNA". It matches the Rfam family "Bacterial small subunit ribosomal RNA", at positions 526 to 896 of the family's 1533-position model. The record is from RNAcentral.